Apteryx haastii (Great spotted kiwi) is the source of this 1299-nucleotide long non-coding RNA. Lineage: Eukaryota; Metazoa; Chordata; Aves; Apterygiformes; Apterygidae. The record is from Ensembl.
AUGGAAACUGAGGCUGCGGCCACACUGCUCGUCGGAAUCCUCUCUAAGAGAGGGAUAGAAGCCCCGGCGAAGCAGGUACAUGAUCUGAUCAGCUUGGGACGGCGUUGGGGUCACUUUUCYGACCCCCACCUGUUGUUUUCGGUGUCUGAGUGGCAAGAGUUUGGGGGAGCAAUGUGGCAGAAGACGAUCGGGGGAAGUGAGAAGGAGGAAAAGGAGAUAAAAGCCGUUCGCRUACUUUGGAAUACUGUGUUGGAAACUUUAACCGCGAUGAAGGCAGAGAGGGAAGUAGCGUCCGUGGCUGCGAAAAUGCUGAGCCCCGGAGCUGCCGUUAUCAGACCCCCUCCGAGUAAGUCAAGCUUGAUGUCGCGAUUUUUCGGCGGACCACUCCCCAUUAAAGGGCCAACGGUGCCGGCAUGUCGGACUGUCGCGGAGGUACUGCAAAGGGUGCGGGAGGACUCUGGGGGGGAAACGCUGCCGGCAUCUUUGCCAGCUCCAUCCCAGAAGGCGGAAGUUUCCCCAGAGCCGACCGGUCCGAGCUCUGAGGCAAACGCGGAAGUGCACCCGGAGGAGGCUCACAAAAGGGCGGUGGCCACGCCCCUUGCUGACCUCAUCGAUCUGGACGGAAAGGAGGGCCAGCCUCCCCCCGGUUUCCCCCCCUCACCGCCGCCUCGCCUGACUCCUCUGUACCCGCCGUUGCCGCCGCCUAUGCCACCUCAGCGGCCGCCUAUCCCCUCCUUUACCGAUACCACCAGUUCAUGCCAGACUCCAUCAGAGCACCCCCCGCUGUUUUCAGCCAGCGAGCCUUUGGAGAAUAGUGCACCGCACAAGAGUAGGGUUCCGCCGUCACCAAGGGAAACCGUAAGAAUGCUGCAGGAACUAUCGGAACGCCUGAAAAAGGUGGAGCUGCAGGCGCAAGAGAAAGAGAAAGGGAUAUCUCCCUGCUUAAUGAACCCCUCUUCUGGACUUCCAAGGGAGUCUUGCUGGGGCGAUAUUAUUAAAGAGGCCACAGCGGAAGGUCAGUGGCAAGCCACCGGGGAGAAGGGCGGUUCCGCCCCUUUGGCCUUACCGAUAGUAUUCCAACACGGACAGGGAAAGUGGGAACCGCAUGACUGGAAGAUUUUACGACAGGCCCGUGACACCGUUUCUACAUAUGGGGUCAAAUCGGAAGCCACUCGACAAAUAGUCAAUUGGAUUUUUUUGGCUGAUCUCAUGUGUCCAUAUGACUGUAAAAAUCUGAUGAGACUCCUACUUACUCCCACUCCGGCGUCCUCCGACAGAAGUAAGAGAGCAAGACACUGA